GUUAGCGACAGAAGAAGCACCGGCUAACUCCGUGCCAGCAGCCGCGGUAAUACGGAGGGUGCGAGCGUUAAUCGGAAUUACUGGGCGUAAAGCGCAUGCAGGUGGUUUGUUAAGUCAGAUGUGAAAGCCCGGGGCUCAACCUCGGAAUAGCAUUUGAAACUGGCAGACUAGAGUACUGUAGAGGGGGGUAGAAUUUCAGGUGUAGCGGUGAAAUGCGUAGAGAUCUGAAGGAAUACCGGUGGCGAAGGCGGCCCCCUGGACAGAUACUGACACUCAGAUGCGAAAGCGUGGGGAGCAAACAGGAUUAGAUACCCUGGUAGUCCACGCCGUAAACGAUGUCUACUUGGAGGUUGUGGCCUUGAGCCGUGGCUUUCGGAGCUAACGCGUUAAGUAGACCGCCUGGGGAGUACGGUCGCAAGAUUAAAACUCAAAUGAAUUGACGGGGGCCCGCACAAGCGGUGGAGCAUGUGGUUUAAUUCGAUGCAACGCGAAGAACCUUACCUACUCUUGACAUCCAGAGAACUUUCCAGAGAUGGAUUGGUGCCUUCGGGAACUCUGAGACAGGUGCUGCAUGGCUGUCGUCAGCUCGUGUUGUGAAAUGUUGGGUUAAGUCCCGCAACGAGCGCAACCCUUAUCCUUGUUUGCCAGCACUUCGGGUGGGAACUCCAGGGAGACUGCCGGUGAUAAACCGGAGGAAGGUGGGGACGACGUCAAGUCAUCAUGGCCCUUACGAGUAGGGCUACACACGUGCUACAAUGGCGCAUACAGAGGGCGGCCAACUUGCGAGAGUGAGCGAAUCCCAAAAAGUGCGUCGUAGUCCGGAUCGGAGUCUGCAACUCGACUCCGUGAAGUCGGAAUCGCUAGUAAUCGUGGAUCAGAAUGCCACGGUGAAUACGUUCCCGGGCCUUGUACACACCGCCCGUCACACCAUGGGAGUGGGCUGCAAAAGAAGUAGGAUAG
Molecule: ribosomal RNA, 960 nt
Filed under: Vibrio harveyi
Lineage: Bacteria; Pseudomonadati; Pseudomonadota; Gammaproteobacteria; Vibrionales; Vibrionaceae
Description: bacterial SSU rRNA
Rfam family: Bacterial small subunit ribosomal RNA
Source: RNAcentral